Molecule: ribosomal RNA, 842 nt
Filed under: uncultured bacterium
Lineage: Bacteria
Description: bacterial SSU rRNA
Rfam family: Bacterial small subunit ribosomal RNA
Source: RNAcentral
AGAGUUUGAUCAUGGCUCAGGAUGAACGCUAGCUACAGGCUUAACACAUGCAAGUCGAGGGGAAACGAUAGAGAAAGCUUGCUUUUUCUAGGCGUCGACCGGCGCACGGGUAAGUAACGCGUAUCCAACCUGCCCACCACUUGGGGAUAACCUUGCGAAAGUAAGACUAAUACCCAAUGACGUCUCUAGAAGACAUCUGAAAGGGAUUAAAGAUUUAUCGGUGAUGGAUGGGGAUGCGUCUGAUUAGCUUGUUGGCGGGGUAACGGCCCACCAAGGCAACGAUCAGUAGGGGUUCUGAGAGGAAGGUCCCCCACAUUGGAACUGAGACACGGUCCAAACUCCUACGGGAGGCAGCAGUGAGGAAUAUUGGUCAAUGGGCGAGAGCCUGAACCAGCCAAGUAGCGUGCAGGAUGACGGCCCUAUGGGUUGUAAACUGCUUUUAUAAGGGAAUAAAGUGAGUCUCGUGAGGCUUUUUGCAUGUACCUUAUGAAUAAGGACCGGCUAAUUCCGUGCCAGCAGCCGCGGUAAUACGGAAGGUCCGGGCGUUAUCCGGAUUUAUUGGGUUUAAAGGGAGCGUAGGCCGGAGAUUAAGCGUGUCGUGAAAUGUAGAUGCUCAACAUCUGCACUGCAGCGCGAACUGGUUUCCUUGAGUACGCACAAAGUGGGCGGAAUUCGUGGUGUAGCGGUGAAAUGCUUAGAUAUCACGAAGAACUCCGAUUGCGAAGGCAGCUCACUGGAGCGCAACUGACGCUGAAGCUCGAAAGUGCGGGUAUCGAACAGGAUUAGAUACCCUGGUAGUCCGCACGGUAAACGAUGGAUGCCCGCUGUUGGUCUGAAUAGGU